AACAGAGCACUAAAACAGAAAACACUUGCUCCUUAUGGCAUAAGUGAGAAGGCACCACAUGAAAGGGGAAGCGGCCAGCGUAGGAGGAGAGAAGAGGCAAAAAUCCUUCGUUUGCGUUUUGCUUCAAACAAUCCCGUGAAUGUUGCUUUGGAAGAAAAAAAAAAAAAAAAAAAAGUCUUUUUAGUCAAUAAUCAACCCCACACUUUCUUCUGAAACUGCUGAUCUGCCAUUCGCCCACUUGCCCGGCCGAAUACUGAGAGAGGCAGCUCUGCGCCCCGACGGAGCCCCCCGGACCGGCGAGGAGGAUUUGGACAGGGAGAGAAAAGAUGGGGACUGCCGAAACCUGCGGACACCGGGGAGCCUGCCGGUUUGGGGGGCCCCGCCGAAAGCCGGGCGAGUUUUUCCUAAGAGCGCGUUUCAGCUUGGGAGCCAUCUCCAGCGGGAUUUUCUGGCAAAAUAUCCCCAUUCAGAGAGGCAGAAUAAACCUCCACAUUUUCAAGGCUGAUUUAUUGUUGGAAGCCGUGGCUGGCUCUUGGUUCAGCUCCUUCUCACCGCGGAGAAAUAAAGAGGAGCGCCUUGGCUCAUUUGGGAAGGGGAAGCUUUGCCAUAGAGCUGAGCACUCAUGCAGCGCUCCUCGCACAAUAAACAAAGUACCACUAAAGCAUCAUAAAUAAAAUGGCAGCACGAUCGCACAGUCAUCGAUUUACGGAGCGGCAGCGGCCGAACAAACACCCAUAAAACAACAACCGCUGCCGCACACUCGAGCACGACCCCGACAGAGGAGCAUCACACGCCCCCCACAUCGCUUUCUCCUACUCGCCCAAAUACAUAAAUAAACAAACAAACACACACACAAACGCACAAAUAAAAUAAUAGAAUAAAAUUAAGGGGGGGGGGAAAAUAUUCAAACGCGGCAAUAAAAGAGGCUUCCCAUCUCCAGCCGGUCAUAAAUAAUGGUAAAAUGGCAAUCGAGGGGCUGUAGCGGAGGCAGCUGGCCAUCAGCAGCAGUGUGGGAUCUCUAUGGAGAAAAAUAAAUAAAGAAGCAAACUCUGCCUGCUCUGCUCGCUGCAAGGGUAGAGUUGAAUAUUUACCACAGCAAAUUGAAACAAAGGGGGAAGCAGCCUGGCUCCGGGUGCACACACACCCGCACGCACACACACGCACUCACUCCAGCCUCUGCUACUGACCUUUGCCUCGAACAGCAAUAACUCACCACAUAAAUGAACAAUCAACGGAAAUACCUUAAAAUAAAAUCCAUCCUUUCUAACGAA
Melospiza melodia melodia is the source of this 1271-nucleotide long non-coding RNA. RefSeq lists it as uncharacterized. The record is from RefSeq and is a predicted model, not a curated record. The transcript has 2 exons. Lineage: Eukaryota; Metazoa; Chordata; Aves; Passeriformes; Passerellidae.